Molecule: ribosomal RNA, 160 nt
Filed under: uncultured bacterium
Lineage: Bacteria
Description: partial 16S rRNA
Rfam family: Bacterial small subunit ribosomal RNA
Source: RNAcentral
GGAAUCUUCCACAAUGGACGAAAGUCUGAUGGAGCAACGCCGCGUGGGUGAAGAAGGGUUUCGGCUCGUAAAACUCUGUUGUUAAAGAAGAACAUAUCUGAGAGUAACUGUUCAGGUAUUGACGGUAUUUAACCAGAAAGCCACGGCUAACUACGUGCAG